GUGAAAAUGCGAGCAGGGCCUCGGAGACGAUGCUGGGUCAGAGUUGAAGAAAUAUCGAUGCUACCAUCGAAGCUGACAGUAAAAAGAACUACUAAAGGGUUUAACCAUGUACUACCUAAAAUCAUCUUACAUGCCAGCCAGGACACAUGCCACAUUUAAGGAAACACUGUGUUCGAGAACUGUCCCUUGAAAGGAUUGGACUGACUCCAUGUGGCUUCAGAAGAGAAGACUCAUCUCUUCAGAAGAGAAGACUCAUCAUAAGACUCACGUCCUUGUGGGACGUGACAAGGAGGCUGAUUUUGUCUCCUAAGAGAACUCAGUAGAGCUGGUAUUCUCCAGUGGGAAGGGUUGUGUUGGGGCAGGUCACCUGCAGGUGUGCCUUCAGGGUCAAAGCCUCACCCAUCUCUUCCAAGGUCCCUCUGAUGACUAAUGGUACUUAAUACCAUGAGGUGCCCUCACGUCCAUGAAUGAGAAGGAAGCAAAGGAAGCGAGUGAAUGAACGGAAGCAUGGGUGGGUGAGGGACGCGUGGAGGUAGAGAAGGGCUAUCUUUCAUGCAGGCACGGGUCCAAGGGAAGCACAGUGCUUCUGCUGUCUUGCCUAGGCCCCUCUCCGUACCAUGCACCUGGGCUUGCCUGGGCCUGAGGCUUCCCUGGCUCUCAUAGCCCCACAAGUGCAUCACCCCAAGGGGACCAGCUCUGCCUGUGUGUCCGCCAGAUUUUCUGUCUCAGCAUCUCAGCAUUUCCUGUGCUGAGACAGGCAAGUGGCACGCUCAAUCCAGGCUCCUUACAAACCGACGGGCAAGGGCAUGAAUGCCUACCAGCGGCAGCUCAGCCACACUUCCCGUAUGGUGCAGAGAUAUUAGCAUGGACAUCAGUUUUGGGGAACAAGAUCCAUACUAUGGCAGCCAGUGCAGCUGCUGGGCAACCAGAUCCAGAUCCUCCCUGCCCAAGUGGACUCAGGCUCCUGUCCCAAAGGGAAUACUCCCCUCACCCAGCCUCUGUUUCUGCUUUUUUUUUUUUUUUUUUUUUUUUUUUUUGCCCCCUUUAUGCUCUGGUUCCUUCCUGGUGGCUGGCCCAGAAGGCUUGGGAGGAUCAUCAAGCUUUGUGGUGUGCAGAACGCAUCUGAGCAGAAAACAUCAGGCUGGAGGGAACCUGGAAGCUUCCGGGUCCUACUGCCUUCUUGUCCAAAUCAGGACAGUAAGGCACAAAGAGGCAUCUACACUCCACUGCACUUCCGAAAGGACUGGACAGCGGUGGGAGGAGCACGUGCGGGGAAUCUCCUGCCCUGUGCUGGGGUGAACUGUGAGCAUGCCCUCGUUCCCCCAUCAGAUUACGGUGCUGGAGGUCAGGGCCUAGGCUGCCUCUGUGUAUCAGCCUGCCCAAACCAAGGGCAGAAUUUUGAUUGCGGAGCAAUAAGGCCUUGACCUGACCACCAUGAUUCCUGCGCACAUCGCUUUACCUUCUGGGCCUUGGUCUCUUCAGCUGUCAUACGGAAUGAUAAAAUCUACCUCACGGGGAUGUGGCGGAUUGAAAAUAAAAACAC
Molecule: long non-coding RNA, 1543 nt
Organism: Mustela lutreola (European mink)
Lineage: Eukaryota; Metazoa; Chordata; Mammalia; Carnivora; Mustelidae
Exons: 3
Source: RefSeq, a predicted model, not a curated record